ACUGGUUAAACAUUGUAGAUUUUUCGUGUAUACAAAUUUUUUGUUGAUAGUUUUGGCUCUUCUUCGUCGACUCUCCCUACCAGCUGGAGAUGCCGACUACAACUUCAAUUUUACGAGCUCAGAAAGCGUCUGUUAUCUAUUUGACAAUACAAAUCUUUAGUCAAUGGCUGCUUUUCCAAGUAUCUCUGUAACAUAGCAAUCCCCAUAUGACCUGAUGACCAUAACAUUUGUAUUAUUGUAUUGAAAUGUUAAAGUGUUGUAUCAAGAGGCGUGAUGAUCUAGUCUCCACAGGAUUCUUCUUCAUCAUUGGUUAUUGCUCGCUAAGGAGUCACGUGAGAGUGCGCGUGAUCAACAAGCAAGCACAGCCCUCGCACAUUCAGCUGAGUCGUUGCUCAAACCCAAUUCGGUUACAGCUAAUUUGAAUACAGGUACCAGUCACUGAGUUUCUAUUUGGGGAAGAGUUCCAGGCUCAAAUUAACAACAUCAAAGCAUCCAAUAAGAUUGGAAAGCAAUGGCCUCAUCACGGUCUUCAGGACAGCCUAUUAAAAGCAAAGAGUCUUGGAAACAUCCAUCCAAAAGUGACCAAAGUUCUUUUUUGAGGGAAAGACGUGGGAAGUCGGACCGUUCCCCAUGGAGCAGGUAAGGCCAUGGAGCCCAAUUCGAGAGACAAUGGAAAAAGACCAAACCUGGAGUACACAAGAUAUGGUCAAAACCUUACGUACAUUACAGACAUGGUGUCAGAAGCACAUAUAGAAUUCUCCUCACCCCCUGUGCAAACAAAAUCGCCUAGAGAGCAAUUAUUUACCUGCAAUGAUAGAAUUCUUCUCAAUUUGGAAAUCAACAUUCUAUUUGCUAAACGUGUUAUUGUCCACCAGUAUGGGAUUGGUGUCUAAAUAAUAAGUAUCCUUCCAGAAGUUUAGAAAAAAUUAAAAAAGACAAGACAACAGGACUGCUAAUGAUUCCGAAUUGGCCGACUCAGUCUUGGUGGCCCAAAGUUAUGAGAAUGUUACUCCAGGAGCCAAUUCAGCUGCCAGUGGCAAAGCGUUUUUUGACUCAACCCAGCCAACCAAGCUUGGUUCAUCCACUAUAUCCAAAGCUGGUUCUACUGCUAUGUCAAAUCUCGGGGGGGGGGGAUUCUCCAUAACGGUGGACUUUUAGGCCGGGCUGCCAAAUUGGUCCUGCAGUCUUGAAGAGAAAGUACACAAAAGCAAUACGACCCGUAUAUCAAACGAUGGCACCUAUACUCUGGUGAAAAGCAAGUUCAUACGAUUUCCGCAACUGUAGAAAAUGGAGUGAAUUUUUGUCAGAAUUGUUCCAGACUGGUAUUGGUUGUAGUGCACUUAAUACGGCAAGAAGUGCCCUGUUGUAUUAUAUCGUCCUCCCUGAAUUAAACCAUACAUAUUACAUAUUUUAAAAUGUAAUCACUUAAUCAACUUUCUUUUAUAAAAGGGUUCUUCGGAAUCCAAAUUCGGAAUCAUUUUUUGAAGAAAGUCGCGGUUGGAAGUUGCAAGGAAAUUGAGAAUGGAAGGAAAAAAUGAACGUCAAAAAGAGCGAAAACAGCAAACCAGAUAAAAUGAUGAAUACUAUCAUAUGAAACCGCUAGUUCGCGGGCUCAUACUGAGGUCAAGGGAAAUCCACUGUAGGGAAACCUUUGAAACCAGUUUCGGAACUUCUGCUUAUGCAAACCGAGGAGACCUUUGGGAGAACUCGAGAGCAGAUCAAUGCAAGCCCGAGACCGAAGAUCGUCAAGACGCGAAGCUGGGAAAAAAUUCAGGUCCCGGAUGAAUGUAAACAAAUAUAUUUUUGCCAACUGCUUUCGAGUUUCGACGUAGGUGGCCCAGAAAGAAUCUGUUUGCGUUUUUUCAUUUUUUUCAUGCAAUCGAUUUAUGUAAAUAGUCCUAAAUAUAUUCCAUGAUUCAUGUGCAAUGUUUGUCACGCGCGUUAUCUCGCGUGACUUCCACGUAUAUAUGGUCUUAAAGGUCUUAUAUUUUGACAAGGUUUGCAACCCUCAACAUAGGUGGCCCAAAAAAUCACUUUUAAAUAGUUUAAACAAACGAUAACUCUCACCAUUCCAUCGUAACAGACCGUGCACCGCAAACUUUGUAUAAUUGAUUAUAUAUAUUAUAUAUUUAUCAAAUGUUAGGCAACUAUCAUCGCAGUUACGAAAACAUGCCUUUACAUAAAGUAAUAAUACGUAAAAAACAAACAACAAUUCCAAAUAAUAAUUAUAUCACUUAUUGCGCCUAUUGACCAUCAAUAUCAUAAGCACGCAUGCGCCUUGUUACGUUUUGCUACGAUAAGUUACGAUAGGUGACUAGUGGAAUACAAGCUUUAUAAUGAAGUUGGGGGGCGCGAUAAAAGAGUUAGCAUUGCUAAAGAUCGACUCAUAUUUUGCAAUAAUUAUUUACCAAUUGCUAAGAUAUAAAUAAUCAAUUCUAAGACCACGGCAGUGCUGCAUUGCAUUUCUUGGUUUUAAAAUAAAUGAAAAGUUAAAAUAAAAAGCAGUUGAAGACCUGUGAAUCAAAAGAGGAGGAGUGGAUUGCUUGACGGAAGCAACGCAAAAAGAUGUUGUUUGUUUCAAAGUUGUAGAAUUGCUGUCAUGUGAAGCUCCUGAUGUUGAAUGCAUCACAUCUUUAGCUGGUGUUAUAAAGACAAAAGAAGAUGUUCCUGAAAUGUUGAGUGAUAACGAUAUGUCCAAAAUAUAUUCUGAUGAUGAAAAUUCUGAUGAAGAUGAUUUUGAUCCCAAUUUCACCAGAGGAUUUCUUGACGACUAUUACCGUAUUCGCAAAGACGUCACUGAAAAAUUAAAACAGUCAGUAAAAAUCUACUCAAGACUGAUUUUCUUGGAUAAAUGGAUUUUGCGGGAUAACAUUCAACCCAGAACCACGUUUGUAUGUGACUGUAGUAAAGGAGAGAAAAAAUGAUGAAGAUUCUUUGAAGAAUGAGAUCAACGACAAAUUUGGAUGGAAAGCGUCUGAUUAUAUUGAUUGUCGUCAUGCCAACAGCUCAUUACCGACGUUUCGAUAUUUGUCAAAUCAAGGGUAUGGCUUUCCGCUUCGCAUAUUCCCGGGAUAACAAAUACCCUUGCUGAUAAAGGGUCGCGUAGGGCCUCAGGCUCCAGUGAGUGAGCCCUUGACUCUGCUAUCCUGUCACAGGCAAUACAGUGUGCUCAGUUUACAGUAUCUUUCCAAAAGUUUAAAAAAAUUCAAAAAGAGAAGGCAACAGGACUGCUAGUGAUUCCGAACUGGCCGACUCAGUCUUGGUGGCCCAAAGUGAUGAGAAUGUUACUCCAGGAGCCAAUUCAGCUGCCAGUGGCAAAGCGUUUUUUGACUCAACCCAGCCAACCAAGCUUGGUUCAUCCACUAUAUCCAAAGCUGGUUCUACUGCUAUGUCAAAUCUGGGGGGGGAAUUCUCCAUGAACGUGGACUUUCAGGCCUUGCUGCCAAAUUGGUCCUGCAGUCUUGAAGAGAAAGUACACAAAAGCAAUACGACCCGUAUAUCAAACGAUGGCACCUAUACUCUGGUCAAAAGCAAGUUGAUAAAAUUUCGGCAACUGUAGAAAAUGGAGUGAACUUUUUGUGAGAAUUGUUCCAGACUGAUAUUGCUUAUUGUGCACUUAAUACGGGUUCUUCGGAAUCCAAAUUUGGAAUCACUUUUUAAAGAAAGUCGCGGAUGAAAGUUGCAAGGAAAUUGAGAAUCGAAGGAAAAAAUGUCAAGGGAAAUCCACUGUAGGGAAACCUUUGAAACCAACGAAGUAAUUGAACAAAUAUAGGGAAACCUUUAUCACUAGUGAUUUGUGAACGUUGGGUGGUCGGGUAAGGAUACUUAAAACACAGGAGCCAUAUUUGCUGGGGACGCUUAAAACCUUCAUGAUUUAAGUACUGGGAUACGCAAAACAUGGGGAUACUCAUCACUUUGACAGUGAUUGAGACAUUUAAUUAAAAUACAUCUGGAACGAUAACUUCUAUAGUUUUGUCCCAUGACUGGCUGAAGCUAAAAAUACAUCUAAAUUUGUCAAGCUUUCCCAUGAAAUGUGUGUUUUUUUCGGCGGCCGAUGUUUGCUUUGCUUCUUGGCAGUGGAAAAACGUUGAAAAAAAUUGAAAAAAUUGAUUUAUUGUCGUUUUUUACACAUUUGUGCUUUGAAAUUGCAGCUAGCAUGCCACAGCAAGAUAUUUUCGAGAAGAAACAAAUUCAGCAAGAAUCGAGGACGAUCGAUUGACAAACUAAUACAAGACGGAACUGAAUGUUAAAUCAUGACACACAAUUUUUCCUUGUUGCUGCCUGUGCGAGGCAAAACACUAUUCUUGACAUGACUUGACCCAUUUCCCCAACGCGACCUAUAUACUGGUGGAAUCUCGAUUUUUUGUUCGUCUGUUAACAAUUCCGGGGGGAUUUUUACGUAAUGAAGGGGAGCGCACAAUCACAAUAAAGUAGAACCUUUCGGAACUUCUGUAAGUUUCUGUUUGAUUUUAAACGUCUUGAUUCUGAAUAGAUAUGAGGCAUAAACAACGUAAUACAGUAAGAUACUAAAAUUGAGUGAUCAUUCAUGACAUUUAAGAAAUAAAAGAUGUUUACUGUGUUUACACAGGCUUAUGCAAAACGAGGAGAUCUUUGGGAGAACUUGAGAGCAGAUCAGUGCAAGCCCGAGACCGAAGAUCGUGGGGACGCGGAGCUAGGGGAAAAUUUAGGUCCCGGAUGAAUGUAAACAAAUAUACUUUUGCCAACUGCUUUCGAGUUUCGACAUAGGCGGCCCAGAAAGAAUCUGUUUUCGUUUUUUCAUUUUUUUCAUGCAAUCGAUUUAUGUAAAUAGUCCUAAAUAUAUUCCAUGAUUUAUGUGCAAUGUUUGUCACGCGCGUUGUCUCGCGUGACUUCCACGUAUAUAUGGUCGUAAAGGUCUUAUAUUUUGACAAUUUGUAUAAUUGAUUAUAUAUAUAUUAUAUAUUUACCAAAUGUAGGCAACUAUCAUCGCAUUUACGAAAACAUGCCUUUACAUAAAGUAUUAAUACGUAAAAAACAAACAAGAAAUCCAAAUAAUAAUUAUAUCACCAAAAAUAGGAUAAUUUUUCUUCAUUAAUCCAUACCUAGCUUUGAAAAAAGACCACAAAAAUCCCGAUAAAUAUGCGUGAACUUUUUAAA
Long non-coding RNA from Xenia sp. Carnegie-2017, 5136 nucleotides. RefSeq lists it as uncharacterized. The transcript has 14 exons. The record is from RefSeq and is a predicted model, not a curated record. Lineage: Eukaryota; Metazoa; Cnidaria; Anthozoa; Malacalcyonacea; Xeniidae.